GUGACAUACCUAUAACUGUUGCUUCGGCGGGUAGGGUCUCCGCGACCCUCCCGGCCUCCCGCCUCCGGGCGGGUCGGCGCCCGCCGGAGGAUAACCAAACUCUGAUUUAACGACGUUUCUUCUGAGUGGUACAAGCAAAUAAUCAAAACUUUUAACAACGGAUCUCUUGGUUCUGGCAUCGAUGAAGAACGCAGCGAAAUGCGAUAAGUAAUGUGAAUUGCAGAAUUCAGUGAAUCAUCGAAUCUUUGAACGCACAUUGCGCCCGCCAGCAUUCUGGCGGGCAUGCCUGUUCGAGCGUCAUUUCAACCCUCAAGCUCUGCUUGGUGUUGGGGCCCUACAGCCGAUGUAGGCCCUCAAAGGUAGUGGCGGACCCUCCCGGAGCCUCCUUUGCGUAGUAACUUUACGUCUCGCACUGGGAUCCGGAGGGACUCUUGCCGUAAAACCCCCCAAUUUUCCAAAGGUUGACCUCGGAUCAGGUAGGAAUACCCGCUGAACUUAAGCAUAUCAA
RNAcentral lists this ribosomal RNA (508 nucleotides) under Colletotrichum gloeosporioides. RNAcentral describes it as "eukaryotic LSU rRNA". The stretch from base 147 to 300 matches the Rfam family "5.8S ribosomal RNA". Lineage: Eukaryota; Fungi; Ascomycota; Sordariomycetes; Glomerellales; Glomerellaceae. The record is from RNAcentral.